GAUGAACGCUGGCGGCGUGCCUAAUACAUGCAAGUCGAGCGAACAGACGAGGAGCUUGCUCCUCUGACGUUAGCGGCGGACGGGUGAGUAACACGUGGAGAACCUACCUAUAAGACUGGGAUAACUACGGGAAACCGGAGCGAAUACCGGAUAAUAUAUUGAACCGCAUGGUUCAAUAGUGAAAGACUGUUUUGCUGUUACUGAUAGAUGGAUCCGCGCCGCAGUAGCUAGUUGGUAAGGUAACGGCUUACCAAGGCAACGAUGCGUAGCCGACCUGAGAGAGUGAUCGGCCACACUGGAACAGAGACACGGUCCAGACUCCUACGGGAGGCAGGAGUAGGGAAUCUUCCGCGAUGGGCGAAAGCCUGACGGAGCAACGCCGCGUGAGUGAUGAAGGUCUUCGGAUCGUAAAACUCUGUUAUUAGGGAAGAACAAAUGUGUAAGUAACUAUGCACGUCUUGACGGUACCUAAUCAGAAAGCCACGGCUAACUACGUG
This 497-nucleotide ribosomal RNA is filed under the name uncultured bacterium. RNAcentral's name for it is "partial 16S ribosomal RNA". It matches the Rfam family "Bacterial small subunit ribosomal RNA", at positions 28 to 507 of the family's 1533-position model. The record is from RNAcentral.